Long non-coding RNA from Schistocerca gregaria, 2373 nucleotides. RefSeq lists it as uncharacterized. Lineage: Eukaryota; Metazoa; Arthropoda; Insecta; Orthoptera; Acrididae. The record is from RefSeq and is a predicted model, not a curated record. The transcript has 2 exons.
UUAUUGUCUCCCAGGUCCGCACAAAGGAAAGGACUAACACCAGCAGAAAUUGAGCGUCUUCUUCUGCAAUCAUCUGAUGAGGAAUAUUCUGCAGAUUUCUCCGACAGUAAUGAGGAAGCAGAAAUAAUUGAAACUGCGGAUCAUUCCAGCUAAUAUGAGCAGUCAUGUGUUGACGGGAAUGAAGUGAAACGAAUGCCACAUGAUGACUGCCAUUUUUAUAUUGUUGCAGUGCUGUAGAAGAUAUUUCCAUAAGACAACAAGGAGUGGAAACAAGCCAAAUAGCACAGUACAUCUGUCUUUAGGGCAACACAACAAGAGAUGCUUUCAAUUGCAUAACUGUCAUCUUAUUUAUUAGUUUGUGUAUUCCGAGGCAUCUUGCACUUUGCAUUGUACCCUAUGUGGGGAAUGUGCCAUCACCACAGGGUGAUUGUGAGUGGCAGUCUGUCCAUAUCACUGGAGGGCGGAGGCCAAUGGGGUGGCCUCACCCAUUUGCCCUGUGAGUGGACAGGGGUCCAUUCCUUCAGCAGGGUCUAAGCAGGCACGUUGGGGGAAGCAUGUGUUAGUUAUUGUGAGGUCUAGUGUAGGUGCAUGGCGGAACCUGUUAGGAAAACAACAUACAGGACUGGAAAAAAAUCCAUGUGUGCUCGAUAUGUCUGCUGAUAGGGCCUCAUAUGACAGUGAGAUGUGGACGACGCUCUGGCUGCAGCUAUUGAGCAUCCAGAGUCCAACUCUUGUAACAUGAUGCAUAUUUAGGUGAGCUAAUUGGCCACCCAGUAUCAGUAGGAGGUAAGAUGAAUUUGUUGUACUGCUGAACACUAGCAGUCCCAUACAAAGACUAGCUAUGUUGCCAGAAAUGGGGAAAAUCUCAAAGCUGGGAAUUUGGACAGCUGUUACUUGCAUGACCUUUGUGCAGAAGAUGCUCCAAGAAAUGGCAGAGUGUCAGAGUAUCUUAAGGAUGGCUAAGUUACAGCUAUUUGAGACACUACAAUAAUAAUAAUCACAUAUCAAAGCAAAUCUGAAUACACAGUCAAUCUCAGAUAAAUGAGGCACAUCCAGUGACACAACAGUAAUUUCAAUAUCUUUAAAACAACAAAGAUUAAUAAUUUACAAUGUGAAAUAUUUUCACAGUGAACCUCUGAAUUAACAAUUUUAAGUGCUUCAAUUGUUUUCAAAAUACAAUACCUCAGAUGAUAGCAAUGCACUGCAGCUAUCAUUACUGAAAGCUAUGUAUCUGUAUCAACUUUAUUUCCUGAUCCAUUACGUCUUUUGUAUCUUUUUUAUUAAGCAAAUGUUUAUCAGAACAUUGUAUUCUUCACAUUUGUGCAGCUAAUGAAUACAGCAUGAAUACCUCACAUAUUGUCAUACUUUUGUAGUUAUUUAAUGAACAGUUUACUAUUUUGCCAGUAACUUUAUUUAAAUGUUGAACGCAAGUGCUGUUAAAAAACUGUGCUAAUUUAAAAGUGGUUAAUCACAUGUGUUAGCUGACAGCACAAUUGAAAAGAGAACCAAAAGAUGCUUCUGUUGAUAAGACAUAAAUAUUUGUUUGAAUAAUGUUUAAUUACAAUCUGUUAUCAUUUAUUAUGAGCUCACUUGUGCGAGAAUAUUGUGUCAUUUAUUUAUCGACAAACUUUAUUUAUGUUUAUUGUGAAUGGUCUGAGUGUGACUGAAUGUUUAAAACAUUUCUUUAUUUAAAUACUGUCAUAAUAUAUUAGCUUAGUCUGGGAAGUGGUCAAGAUGAGUCAGAUCAUGUCUAGAAUGAUGUAUUUUUGCUGGGGAUGACCUUCAGCCAAUGGAAAAGCAGACAGUAGUUGAACAUUGUGUGAGUCAAGUAGAGAUUGAGACUUUUCAAGUGAAGAGCUCAAGACAACGAUUUGGGACACUUCUACAUUUGUGCUGGAAGAACAUAGACCCACCUGUGGUAAUGUUUAUGAUUCAGUCAUAUAGGUGACUGAUUCUGAGUGGUGAACGGCUGCUACAAUACUCUAACUUUUGAGGCUACUCUAAGUCUCAAGAGAUCUGAGUGUGCUCCAUGGCAGGAUUCUAACUUUAUGUGAUUUUAUUACAGGACUGAGAAUAAACAGAGUAUAAGCUACUAUUCUUUGUAUUGUGUGUUUCAGUUUGUGAAUCCUCAUAUUGAACUCUGAACUGUUUUGAGCUGAUGAAUAUGUCAUGUAUGGUGAUUAUGAAAUGGACUUAGUUUCUGCAUGUAUUGAUUAUGAUUUAGUUUGAGGAUUUGCUACCGUUGUAACACUAUCAAUGUAACUUUACUGCAUUUGAUAAGGAUAUUUCCUGUCUGUAUUUUAACUGAGUAUCAUGGGACCACUUUCCAUUUAUUUGAGAUGUACUUUCUUGAAUAAAUGUUAUUCAACAUAA